GAAGCCAGCUUCUCCAGAGGAAGCCUUGGUUGCACCUCUUCUUGCCAGGUCAAACUUGCUGAUUACUAGGGAUAUAGAGUGGGCGAAUCUAGUACUUGGUUUUGAGCAGGAAAACCGUUAUGCAGUAGUAGAUGUGUGCUACCCGCAGUCUCCUGUGGGUUUUAUUCGUGAGCAGAGUAAUGUAAUUGCUAGGCAGUUGCUUCGUCUGAGGCGCCCUUUUGUUGCUUACAUAACUGAUGCUAUGGGUAAUGAGCUGUUUAGGGUUCAGAGGCCAUUUUGGUGGAUAACCAGCUCAAUUUAUGCAGAGAUUAAUGGUAAAGAAGUUGGUGUGGUUCAUAGACGAUGGCAUCUUUGGAGGAGAAUAUAUGAUUUGUACCUUGGAAAUAAUCAAUUUGCUGUGGUUGAAAAUCCUGGACUUUGGAAUUGGACAUUUACGUUGAAGGAUAUUAAUGGGGAAGUUGUGGCUCAAAUAGAUCGGGAUUGGAGGGGUUUUGGAUUUGAGAUCUUUA
RNAcentral lists this unclassified non-coding RNA (509 nucleotides) under Hevea brasiliensis (rubber tree). Lineage: Eukaryota; Viridiplantae; Streptophyta; Magnoliopsida; Malpighiales; Euphorbiaceae. The record is from RNAcentral.